UACGUAGGUGGCAAGCGUUGUCCGGAAUUAUUGGGCGUAAAGCGCGCGCAGGCGGCCUCUUAAGUCUGAUGUGAAAGCCCCCGGCUCAACCGGGGAGGGCCAUUGGAAACUGGGAGGCUUGAGUAUAGGAGAGAAGAGUGGAAUUCCACGUGUAGCGGUGAAAUGCGUAGAGAUGUGGAGGAACACCAGUGGCGAAGGCGACUCUUUGGCCUAUAACUGACGCUGAGGCGACGAAGCG
Molecule: ribosomal RNA, 238 nt
Filed under: uncultured bacterium
Lineage: Bacteria
Description: partial 16S ribosomal RNA
Rfam family: Bacterial small subunit ribosomal RNA
Source: RNAcentral